GGGGCUGUAACGGUUUCGACGUUUUGGUGAACGUAGCCUCGUGAUGCAGGCCGAGAGUGAGUCGUCUCUCGCAAAUCAAAGGCUCAAAACACGUACAUGCGAACAACAUUGUACCCUUCGCUCGUAAGGCCGUUGCUGUUGCCUAAAAACCAUUAAUUGGUUCGAGCAUCUGUAGUCUGACUCCGUUAAAGGCUAUGGAUAACCCCCAACGGAUGCGCUAAAAAACCGUCUCUGGUCGGUGAUUUAGCUAAGACUUUUACCAGAGCAUCCCACCGUCCGGGAUAGGUGACGGUUCCCGCUUGAGGAUUAGAAAAGCUAAGCCUGUGAACGAUCGAGGAGCUAAUAGCUAAAGCGGACACGGGUUCGACUCCCGUCAGCUCCACUA
Non-coding RNA from Cyanothece sp. PCC 7425, 385 nucleotides. Lineage: Bacteria; Bacillati; Cyanobacteriota; Cyanophyceae; Gomontiellales; Cyanothecaceae. The record is from Rfam.